CAUGUCAGAAGUCAUUUGUGUAUUCUUAUUCUUCGGGGUGUUUCCUUUACAAUUUACUUAGAAAUCAAAGCGGAGAUAAGAUGUCUUCCGACUGUUAGUUUCGUUUUAUUUAAUAAUAAGCCUCCAGUGAAGCAAUCCAAGUUUGCUUUUGAGACUUGCAAUACUGUAAAAUAGUACAAUAAUGGAGGUGCUAGCCAAGGGUAUUAUGAUAAGUGCGGCGGUGGUGGUGGCGGCCGUGUCAGCAGUGGUUCACUGGUGGCAGUAUAGACAAGUGCCGGCACGGUAUUCCACUCACGGCGAGCGCCCGAGACGGGACUGAGGUAUAUCUCAACUAUACCCUCCUGAGACCCAGAAUCAGUUGUUAUGGUUUUGAAUUUGGAGCCCUUACUUACACAAUAAGGUUCAAAAUAGAUUGUGGAAUAUGUACCAAACUUUAUAUGCAGGGUCACAGGGGGAUACCUAAAGAAAUCCUAUGUAAAUUAUUAGUAAUUUAGAAUCUAGGUUCUAGAAAGUCUGCUUGACCUAGCACUAGCUUUCAACUUGAAUUGAAAAUUUUAACAUGACUAAUACUUUCCACUUAUAAUCUGAGAUUACCCUAUGGUUCACAUCCCCUUACUAUACUAUACUAUACCAAAUGGGGCAUUAUCUAUGAAAAGGGACCUUAUUGUCGAAUGCGGUUACACCGCAUAGCGUCGCGCGGCAUUGUACUUAUAUUGGGGCAUCGUUAACAAUGGCGUAAGCGCCAUCGACAGUAAGGUCCCUUUUCAUAGAUAACGUCACAAAUUGUUAUAAGUGGGGAAUGGUGAUUGAUUAAGACUACCUUAAAUAUUUCAAACUAUCUUUAUACCAAAUGUCAUCUACACGGUGUAACAUGAGUAAACCGAAUAAUUUUAACCACGCAUUUCUGAGGUCAAAAGAAGUAAAAAAUUUAAUAUAAGUUUAGGUAAAUUUCGCCAAAAAAGAAUUUUUUUUUGUUUAAGUUUUUCAAUUUUUUGAAUGUAUUUGUACAUAAAAAAUAAAUGUUGUUGGUAAAGUUGUCACUUAAAAUAGAUUUUUACAUAUUUUUUUCGUAGAACCUACUUUUUGCAAAGUGUUACUUGUCACUUUUUGACAUCUAUCAAUAAGGAUAUUUAGACUAUGUCCCAUAGCAGCAACAUCACUAUCAAAAAGGCCUUUUACACUAGAGAUGCACCGGAUAUCCGGUUACUAUCCGGUAUCCGGCCUAUCCGGCCAUUAUUUUACUAUCCGGCCGGAUACCGGAUAGUGACCUACUAUCCGGCCGGAUACUGGAUAGUAACAUUGCUUGAUUUCGGAGUAAACAAAUUGGAUUUAAGAAACAGACACGGUCAUAAUCGUACUUGUUUAUUAUUUUAAAACAAUUUAAUCAUUCCACUCACUUGCACGAGCACUCAUUUCGAACCUAGAAAUGAGUCCGCGUGAAUGUUUACUAGGAAACAGGUCAAACCUGCUGAAUAACACCUGAAAAACCGAAAUGUAGGUAUAGUUCCGCCGGCCGGAUACCGGAUAUUCGGCCAGUGUCCCGGCCGGAUAUCCGGUAUCCGGCCAAACAACUAUCCGUUGCAUCUCUAUUUUACACUAUGUAACAAUAAAAACUUGUUUUUUUUUUAAAUUAAUAAUAUCUCUGAAACUAGGCGAAUUUCAAAAGUUUAUAGGACAUUUUUGUCUCUAAAUACGAUCAGGAAUACGCUGUUAAAAUUAUUCGUUUUACUCAUGUUACACCGUGUAUAAUGUAAACUUACCAGUAAACAUCUUGAAACUUCAAGUCAUUGUCAAUAGAUGUGACAGCAUGGUGUCAUCUAUUGGGCAUUAGCAUGUCGAGCACUAUUACGUUUACCUUAUUGAUGCCGCGGUUAUGUAUGAAGAGGUAACAGAGUUACUUUCACAUAUACAGUAUGUGUCUGACCAUGGAGCUUUAAUUCCAGGGCUUGAUUUAACUCGCUAAACUGAGCUACUUUUACUAUGGGAUCAACCCUAAGAUCGGGAAAAAAUUUUUGGCUUUUCCAUAGAAAACGUCGACAUCUGAUCAGCCAAAAUGUAUGAAAAAGUAAAAAUUUUUUUCGGGAUUUCGGGGUUGGUGCCAUAAUAAAAUUUACACUUUACGUUUUUUUUUUUUAACUUUACAUUAGCUCAGUUUAGCGAGUAGAAUCGAGCCCUAGAUUCAAAGCCCGAUGGUCAGUAACACCCUGUAUAGUUUUGAUUUUAGGUAAUUGCGGUUAAGUUUACCUAGUUUCAAUUAAAUUUCUGUUUUGUUUAAUCAAUUCAAUCACAGCAAUAAUGCGAUAUUAUUAGCUUUAAUAGAAAUUAAUAAUAUUUAUCACAAGCUAUGUUAUUUUAAGAUUGGUUCUUUUAAUUAAAUGUUUGAAUUAAU
Molecule: long non-coding RNA, 2389 nt
Organism: Cydia fagiglandana
Lineage: Eukaryota; Metazoa; Arthropoda; Insecta; Lepidoptera; Tortricidae
Exons: 2
Source: RefSeq, a predicted model, not a curated record